Solanum stenotomum is the source of this 691-nucleotide long non-coding RNA. RefSeq lists it as uncharacterized. The transcript has 3 exons. The record is from RefSeq and is a predicted model, not a curated record. Lineage: Eukaryota; Viridiplantae; Streptophyta; Magnoliopsida; Solanales; Solanaceae.
GUUUCAAAAGUUCAACUUACAAACCUGGUGUAUGUAAUUCCACACAAUGCACUUAUUCCAAUCCUAAUUACUGUGGUGACUGCGUAUUGAAACCAAAAUUGCAGCCUGGAUGCAACAACAAUAGUUGUUACAUUUGGGGUGAAAAUCCCUUGAUUGAUUGGUUUGAUGAUAGCGCUGAAAUUGCUGAUGAUGUAUUUGUUAUUGGUUCUACUCCUAGUGUUCGUGUAACUUUGUUGCGGUUCAUUUUUGCUUGAAUCUGUUUAUUCCUUUUGCUUCAACAGACUGGCAGUGGUAGAAAAUUGCAGCACAAUGCAAUAUACAGCUGAUCAAACCAAGUGAUACCGAGAGGCCAUUUUUAUGGACAACAACAAGAAUCCUUUCAUGUUUACCAUAUGGGACGAUCUAACAGACAAUGAGGGGGUUGUACUACUACAACUGUUGCACGAGCACACUGUUAUUCUUGCAAAAUGAGUAGCUGUUACAGAGUACCGUCGCGGAAAAUGCCAGUAAUUGAAUUUGAAUACUGGCUAGAAGUAAACUCGAUCUAUUGUAGUGAACGAUGAAGAGUUUUUGUACUAUUGUCAUGUAUGUUUGAAUGUAUUUGGUUUUGUGGAAUUUAUUGAUAGUAGAGAUCUUUAAGCAAUUGAUUUUUAAGUAUCGGUUGUACAAGACAUGUUUCCCGAAAUUUAUU